AUAUUGUACCAUGGGGGCAACCCUGCUCCAGCCAUGCCGCGUGUGUGAAGAAGGUCAUCGCAUUGUAAAGCACGUUACGUUGGGAGGAAGGGCUUUAGGUUAAUACCCUGAAGUUUUGACGUUACCAACAGAAUAAGCACCGGCCAACUCUGUGCCAGCAGCCGCGGUAAUACAGAGGGUGCAAGCGUUAAUCGGAAUUACUGGGCGUAAAGCGCGCGUAGGUGGUUCAGUAAGAUGGGUGUGAAAUCCCCGGGCUUAACCUGGGAACUGCUUUCAUAACUGCUGAGCUAGAGUACGGUAGAGGGUAGUGGAAUUUCCUGUGUAGCGGUGAAAUGCGUAGAUAUAGGAAGGAACACCAGUGGCGAAGGCGACUACCUGGACUGAUACUGACACUGAGGUGCGAAAGCGUGGGGAGCAAAC
Molecule: ribosomal RNA, 420 nt
Filed under: uncultured bacterium
Lineage: Bacteria
Description: partial 16S ribosomal RNA
Rfam family: Bacterial small subunit ribosomal RNA
Source: RNAcentral